CUUCAUGCCUCCUUCCCCUUCUCUUCAUCCCCUGGUUUUUUGUUUUUUGUUUUUAUUCUCUCUCCUCCCUUCACACCACUGCGCCGCCGCCCCGUCUCGCUCCUCUUCACGCCAGCCCACCCAGUUUCUUUAUUUCUUGAUCUCCCUACAGACAUUUCAUUUCAAUGGAAGCCGAAGGGCAACGAACAUCCUCAAAUCCCUCUGCAGUUCUUGCUGCUCUGUUGUCCAAACGAGCCAAACUUCAUGAUGAUCUCCGAAACCUCGAAAAACAGGUUUAUGAUAUGGAGACUAUUUACCUACAGGAUCCUAGUCAAUGUGGAAAUGUACUAAAAGGAUUUGAAGGAUUUUUAUCUUCGUCUAAGAGAACCAGCUUGUAAGCUUUAUUAGAUGCGGAAGAAGGUAAGGGAGAUGAGGGGUGAGUGGGGGCGGAGGGACUGCGGGAUGAA
Molecule: long non-coding RNA, 446 nt
Organism: Lycium barbarum (goji berry)
Lineage: Eukaryota; Viridiplantae; Streptophyta; Magnoliopsida; Solanales; Solanaceae
Exons: 3
Source: RefSeq, a predicted model, not a curated record